UACGUAGGGGGCAAGCGUUGUCCGGAAUCAUUGGGCGUAAAGAGCGUGUAGGCGGCUCGGUAAGUCCGCUCUGAAAGCCCGGGGCUCAACCCCGGGAGGCGGGCGGAUACUGUCGAGCUAGAGUCCGGAAGAGGCGAGUGGAAUUCCUGGUGUAGCGGUGAAAUGCGCAGAUAUCAGGAGGAACACCAGUGGCGAAGGCGGCUCACUGGACUGGUACUGACGCUGAGGCGCGAAAGCGUGGGGAGCAAACAGG
This 253-nucleotide ribosomal RNA is filed under the name uncultured bacterium. RNAcentral describes it as "partial 16S ribosomal RNA". It matches the Rfam family "Bacterial small subunit ribosomal RNA", at positions 524 to 776 of the family's 1533-position model. The record is from RNAcentral.